UACGUAGGGUGCGAGCGUUGUCCGGAAUUAUUGGGCGUAAAGAGCUUGUAGGCGGUUUGUCGCGUCUGCCGUGAAAAUUCGAGGCUCAACCUCGAACUUGCGGUGGGUACGGGCAGACUAGAGUGUGGUAGGGGAGACUGGAAUUCCUGGUGUAGCGGCGAAAUGCGUAGAUAUCGAGAGGAACACCUGCGGCGAAGGCGGGUUGCUGGGCUGAUACUGACGCUGAGGCGCGAAAGCUAGGGGAGCGAACGGG
RNAcentral lists this ribosomal RNA (253 nucleotides) under uncultured bacterium. RNAcentral's name for it is "partial 16S ribosomal RNA". It matches the Rfam family "Bacterial small subunit ribosomal RNA", at positions 524 to 776 of the family's 1533-position model. The record is from RNAcentral.